GGAUGGAACUGUGUCUCAAGCUGUAUUUUGGGGAGGGACCCUGUAUACUUGUUUGAACAACUUGUAAGUUGUUAACUUCUUCACUAAAAAAGUCUCUCGGUGCAUUUUCUUCAUUCUUGCAUUUAUAUACUGUUAGAUUGUCUGUCUAUUUUGCUCGUGAAUUAUAAAAAAAUUGUUUCUUUUCAGGAAAAUAAAAUAAGAGUUGAGAAAAUUUUGUAUUCCCUACCGUUUGUUUCUGCAAUCAGUAUUAGUGAAGUUAAAGCAUUAUUUGACCUGUAAAGAGCAUCAGCAGUUCUGUGGAUGAGGAGAUAGUCUAUUAAAAAAGGUACUUUUGUACCAGUCACUUUAAAUUCAUCCUUAUUUUUGUUGUUGUCUAUGUUGCAAUGGCCUAUCCUGUCAGGUAAAUUGGGAAGGAAAGAGUAGUUAGUAUAUUCUAGAGUUAGAUAUAUUGUAUGCACAUGUAAUGCACAUGGGUGGUUAGUUAGCAUGUGUAUAUAGGAUAAGAGAAUGGUGUAGAUUAGGAGUAUUUACACUUUUUUAACAUUUUAGUUGCUAUAUAUAUGCGUAUAAAAACUUUUGAAUAUUAUGCAAUUUGUGAAUGAAAUAGGAAAAGCUUCUUUAAGCUUUCUCUCUCUCUCUCUCAGUGAUAAAUCAUUAAGUUUUUCUCCUUCUUCCUCCCUUAUUCUCUUUGAAUUCUCUCUUAUUUCUAUCUCUAUCUCUGUUUCUAUCUUAUUUUUUGGUUAUGCUUUAAUAAAUGCCUGACAAAUUGGUAUCAGAGCUUAAGCUCUAUCCAAACACAUUAUCUUCUUCCUUUACAUCCUCUGCUCUUCUCGAUUUUCAACCUUUGAUUUCUGCUUCUAUACCCUUCUAGCUGAAUUCUAUCUCUUCUACCUUCUUCCCUCCUUCAAACACUACUUAGAACCAAUACAAAAUCAUCGAUAGCAAUUGUAGAUCUCUGUCCCAUAAUAACAGAAAAUAAGCCUCGGAGGCUCUUUUUUCUAGCGUACCUGCAACAUAGCAAAUUCAAGUGUUAAUUCACUUGUUUCAGGUAUUAAACACUUUCAUCAUACUCGUUCCUAUCACAUAUAGAUAGCUCGGUCCAUAAAACUCAUUUACAACAUCACCCACACAUAUUUUACUUCAUAUUUUGCUUGAUCUUCUUUGUCGGUCAAAUUUUUCCAUAUUCUAUGAAUUAAUUUUGUUUGAUCCGUUUUGUUUGUGUUAGGUGAUUCAUCUUAAGUUGUUUUAGUCAUAGAGUCUAACAAGUUUCAAUCGUAGAGUCUUACAAUUUGUUUUAAUCGUAGUGUCUUACAAGUUGUUUCAAUUGUAGAGUCUUACAAGUUGUUUGAGUCCAGAGUCUAACAAGUUGAUUCAAUCGUAGAAUCUUACAAGUUGUUUCAAUCGUGAAGUCUUACAAGUUGUUUCAGUCUAUACGAUUGUAGAGUCUUAUUAGUUGUUCCAGUCUACGAUCGUAGAGUCUUCCAAUACUAAACUUGUGGAUACUCAGUUUGUUUCACUGAGGAAGUUAACUUGUCAAUUAAAUAGCACUACUUAAGCUCACUUAUUCUUACUCAAGUAUUGUUGCUACUACUUGAAUUCAUUUUCAAACUCGAAAUCACAAUUAUUAUGCGACUCAUUUUCUCUUUACUAUCUAUAAAUAUGGUUGGUGCUUCACAAAUAUUGUAGUAGGAUUUCAAAAACUAUAGAGAGUAGUACAUCAAUGAGAAAUUACAACUCAUUGAUGAGAAAAUGGACCACUUCAUGGAAGGUAUGAAUGAACUGUUGAGACAGAAGAGCCCAGAUAAUGAUGGCAGGUUUGAAAAUCCUUUUGGGGAUAAUGGAAGGGGCAAAAGGCCUGUUCAUAUGGGGCAAAGGAGAGAGAAAGGCUUCUUUAGAGACUCUAGGAAUGUUGAGCAAGAAAGAGUAAAGAAACAUGAAGAUGAUGCUCAAUGGAGGAGGAACUAAAAUGAUGAUGAUGGUGAAGAGGAGAGGAGAGAAGAACUUAAAUAUCUUAAAUUGGUGUUCCCAUUAUUUACUGAGGGUGAUGAUGCUAAGAGCUGGAUACAGGAUUGCGAGGAGUAUUUUGGCAUAUAUGAGAUUCAUUCUCUUAAGAAGGAUUGACAUAGCUGAGAUGCACCUCCAUGGUUCUCCAAAAUUUUGGUACAAGUCUUAUGUCAAUGGCAAAGAGAGGCUUACUUGGAUAGGAGUUUGCAAAAAAUUUCACUGUGAGGUAGGUGUGGAAAAUAUAUAUGAACAAUUCAAGUUGUUGAAGUGAGUAGGAACUGUGAAUGUAUAUUAUGAUGAGUUUGAAAGGCGUAAGAGGAGACUACUUGAGAAGUUGCCUCACUUGACUGAGGACUUUUUUGUAGGGAACUUUGUUGGUAGACUAAAAGAUGAAAUCAAAAAAAUGAUAAAGUUGUUAGACCCAGAAACUCUAUCCCGAGCCUUCAAACAAGCCAAGUUCUACGAGUCUUAUUCCUAAACUUGCCAACAUCCACAACUAUCCUAAACCACAACCCAACCACACCAACAUUCAGCCCAAUUACAAAAAAAAAACUCCCUGCACCACCAACCACCAAAACUCCUAUGCUCACCUAUCCUACUAUCCUAGAAAUGACUUUAACAAGCCUAAACAUACUACUGCAACUCAAAAGAGAUGAGAGAAAAACCAAGAGCCUAUAUUUUUAUUGUGGUGAGAAAUACACCAUGAGACACCAAUACAAGGCUCCUCAGAAUUUCGUGAUCACUUGUAAGGAUUUUCAGAACUGUAAGGACUCUCAAGAGUUUGUGGAAUACCCUGGAACUCCCCAAUAAGAUGAAGAAGCAACCUGUGAGAUUACAGAAAAUUUACCAACCAAAGAGAAUAUUGAGGUAUCCCUUAAUGCCCUUGAAGGCCAAGUUAGUCCCCAAACCAUGAAAAUGACUAGUUAUAUUGGAAAAAAGUCUAUAUCAAUACUCAUAGAUAGGGGUAGUACCCAUAAUUUCUUGGAACCUAGAGCAGCACAGAGGCUCAAAUGUGCUCUAAAGCCCACCUCACCUAUGAUGGUUUCUGUGGCAGAUGGUAGUCAACUCCCUAGCAGCCAACAAUGCUCAUAGUUUAGAUUGAAAAUGAGAUUUUUUUUAAGGAUGUAGUUAGAGUACUACCUAUGGUAGGAUGCGACAUGGUGUUAGGAGUUCAAUGGUUGAAACAGUUGGGGCCAACCACCUUUAACUAUGAGAAGCUAACUUUACAAUUCAAUUAUGGAGGAGAAAUGGUACAACUACAGGGACAAAAUAGAAAUACAUUCCCAGAACUGAAAAUAAUCAUACUAGAAGGUUUGGUCCAACAUAUUAAUGAGAAAGAAAAUGGGUUCCUAGUGAUUCUGCAGUCACUCCCAACCAAUGACUUUACAAUAAGUAUAACACCCCAAACCAUCUCUAGUUGUUAUUCCUUAAACUCUACCACUACAGACCCAAAAAUACAGUCCUUGUUUGAAGAAUACUCGGAUAUUUUUCAAGAACCUCAAGGUAUGCCACCAAAAAGAUCUAUGGAUCAUAGCAUUCCUCUUAAAGCCAACUCUUCACCUUUCUCCAUUAGACCAUACAAGUGCUCUUACGAACAGAAAAAUGAAAAUGGGAAAAGGUUCAAAAAUGCCCCUGACUUUUACCGCGAUGUCUACCGAGCACCCUAUACUUUUUUUUGUCCAAAAGUACACUUAACGUUACAAUUUUUAGGUCGUCUGUGCCUUUGCCGUUAACAGAUCUGCCAACUAGGCUAACAUCCGUCCAAAUUGAUUAUGUGGCUGCCACAUGGAAAUACUAAAAAUACUACUCCCUCCGUCUCAGGAUAAAAGUCCUGGUGGACUUUUCACGCAUAUUAAGAUGAAUAAAAUGACAAAAUUGCCUAUAACAAUGUCAUUAAAUAUGGGGGAGAAGGUUCAAAAAUGCUCCUCACGUUUACCGCGAUGUCUACCGAGCACCCUAUACUUUUUUUGUCCAAAAGUACACUUAACGUUACACUUUUUGGAUCACCCGUGCCCCUGCCGUUAACAGAAGACAAACGGGGUUAAAAUUGGCUGACGUGGCAGACACAUGGAGGCUUAAAGGGAGAAGAUUCAAAAAUGCCCCUGACACGUGUAAAUAUGUCAUUUAAUCAAAACAAAAAUACUAAAAUUCAAAAUAAAAAAAAGCAUAACAUAUUUACAUCAUUUAAUUAAAAUACUCCCUCCGUCCCAGGAUAAAAGUCCUGGUGGACUUUUCACGCAUAUUAAGAAGAGGAAUAAAAUGACAAAAUUGCCAAUAAUAAUGUCAUUAAAUAUGGAGAGAGAAUUAGAAUAAGAAAAGUAUGAGAUAUUAAAUGCUACGAGCAUAAUAGGAAAAAAUGUGUAAAAGUUUGGUUAUUAAAAGAAAGUGGACAUUUAACAUGGGACAACCCAAAAUAGUAAUAAGGACUUUUAUCUUGGGACGGAGGGAGUACUAAAAUUCAAAUUAUUUUGUUAACUAAUCAAAACUACUAAUUAAAUAAAACAAGUUGUAUAACAUAUUUACAUCAUUUAAUCAAAAUACUAAAAUUCAAAACAUAACAUAUUUACAUCAAAUACUAAUUUUAAAAAAAACUAAAAUACUAAUUAAAAAAUACUAAAAAAAUCAAAUUAAAAAAAUAAUAAAAUUCAAAUUAUUUUGUUAAUUAAUCAAAACAACAAAAAUUCAAAUUACAUCAUUAAGAUACUAAAAUCAUAAUACUAAAUACUAAUUGAUAUAAAAAUUUUAAAUUACUAAAAUCAUAAUACUAAAUAAUAUUUUUAAAAUUCAAAAUACUAAAUAACGUUAUACAACUAAUUGAUAUAAUAUUUUUAACGUUAUUAUUCAAAAUGUUAAAUAACGUUAUCAAUUUUUUUAACGCUAAUAUUUUAAAUAUUACUAAAUAACGUUAUCGAAAUUAACGUUGAAUAUUACAAAAUUAACGUUAAUAUUUUUAGUAUUUUGAAAAUUCAACUAAUAUUUUUAUUAUUUUGAUGAUUAACGUUAAUAUUUUUAAAAUUCAAAAUCCAAAAAAUUAACUAAUUCAAAAUUUCAAAAUAAUUAAUGUUAAUUCAACUAAAAUAAUCAAAAAAUAAUUAACGUUAAUAUUUUUUACUAAAUAACGUUAAUUAUUUUGAAUUAGUUGAAUUUUUGAAUAUUUUUAAAAUUCAACUAAAUAAUAUUUUUUAAAAUUCAACUAAUUACAUCAUCAAAAAAUAUUAACGUUUUUAACAUAUCAACUAAUAUUAAAAAAUAUUAACUUUUUUUAAUAUCAAAAAAUAUUAACGUUUUUUAAUAUUUUUAAUAUCAAAAAAUUAACAUUUUUUAAAAUAUUUUAAUUUUUUUAUAUAAAAAAAUAUUAACGUUUUAAUAUUAACCUCAUAUCAAAAAAUUUAAUAUUUUUAAAAUAUUAACGUUUUUUAAUAUCAAAAAAUAUUAUUAAAAUAUUAAAAAAUAUUAACGUUUUUUAAUAUCAAAAUAAUUUGAAUUUUAGUAUUUUGAUUAAAUGAUAUAAAUAUGUUAUGCUUUUUUUAUUUUAAAUUUUAGUAUUUUUUGUUUUGAUUAAAUGACAUAUUUACAUGUGUUAAGGGCAUUUUUGAACCUUCUCCCUUUAAGCCUCCAUGUGUCUGCCACGUCAGCCAAUUUUAACUCCGUUUGUCUUCUGUUAACGGCAGGGGCACGGGUGACCCAAAAAAUGUAACGUUAAGGGUAUUUUUGGACAAAAAAAAAGUAUAGGGUGCUCGGUAGACAUCGCAGUAAAUGUCAGGGGCAUUUUUGAACAUUCUCCCUUAAAUAUGGAGAGAGAAUUAGAAUAAGAAAAGUAUGAGAUAUUUAAUGUUACGAAUAUAAUAGGAAAAUAUGUGUAAAAGUUUGUUUAUUAAAGAAAAAUGGACAUUUAACAUGGGACUACCCAAAAUAGUAAUAAAGACUUUUAUCAUGGGACGGAGGGAGUAAUUAAAAAAUACUAAAUACCAAUUAAAAAAAUAUUAAAAUACUAAUUAAAAAAUACUAAAAUACCAAUUAAAAUAAUACUAAAAUACUAAAAAAAUCAAAUUCAAAUAAUAAAAUUCAAAUUAUUUUGUUAAUUAACCAAAACAACAAAAAUUCAAAUUACAUCAUUAAAAUACUAAAAUCAUAACAUAUUUUACUAAUUGAUAUUAAAUUUUUAAAAUACUAAAUAAUAUUUUUAAAAUUCAAAAUACUAAAUAACGUUAUACAACUAAUUGAUAUAAUAUUUUUAACGUUAAUAUUCAAAAUACUAAAUAACGUUAUCAAUUUUUUUUAACGUUAAUAUUUUGAAUAUUACUAAAUAUUAUAUCAAUUAGUAUUGAAAUAAAAAAAUUCAAGGGUUGAUAUUAAUUAGUAUUGAUAACGUUAUUUAGUAUUUUGAAUUUUAAAAAUAUUAUAUCAAUUAGUUGAUAUAACGUUAUCAAAUUUUUUUUUUGAAAGUAUGUUAUGAUGUAAAUAUGAUAUGUUAUACAACUAAUUGAUAUAUUAAAAUACUAAAUACUAAAAUACUAAAUAAAUUCUUAUUUUAGUAAAAUAUAAUACUAAAUAUAUUCGUAUUUUAGUAAAAAAAAAAAUUAGUAAUUGAAACAAAUUUAACGUUAAAUUUUAGUAAAUUCGUAUUUUAGUAAAAUAUAAUACUAAAUAUAUUCGUAUUUUAGUAAACAAAAUUUAGUAAUUGAAAAAAAAUUAACGUUAAAUUUUAGUAAAUUCGUUUUUUAGUAAAAUAUAAUACUAAAUAUUUAGUAAAAUUUGAUAUGUUAUACUAAUAUUUAGUAAAAAGUAAAAAGUAUAUAAUACUAAUAAUUAGUAAAAUUUGAUAUGUUAUACAACUAUGGUAAAAUUUUAGUAUUUUAGUAAAAUUUUAGUAUUUUAGUAUUUUAAUGAUGUAAUUUGAAUUUUUGUUGUUUUGAUUAAUUAACAAAAUAAUUUGAAUUUUAGUAUUUUUUAAUUUGAUUUUUUUUAGUAUUUUUUUAAUUAGUAUUUAGUAUUUUUUUAAUUAGUAUUUUUAGUAUUUUCAUGUGGCAGCCACAUAAUCAAUUUGGACGGAUGUUAGUCUAGUUGGCAGAUCUGUUAACGGCAGGGGCACGGACUACCCAAAAAUUGUAACGUUAAGUGUACUUUUGAACAAAAAAAAGUAUAGGGUGCUCGGUAGACAUCGCGGUAAAAGUCAGGGGCAUUUUUGAACCUUCUCCCAAAAUGAAAUAGAGAGACUAGUGCUGGAAAUGCUACACAGGGAUCAUAAGACCGAGUCAGUCCAUAUGCUUCUCCCUUGCUCCUAGUUAAGAAAAAGGAUGGCAGCUGAAGAUUUUGUGUUGACUACGGACACCUCAACUCUCUAAUUAUCAAAAAUAAAUAUCCUAUUCCCCUCAUUGAUGAGUUAAUAGAUGAAUUACACGGGGCUAAAUAUUUUACUUAACUGGACUUAAGGGUUGGGUAUCACCAAGUCAGAAUGAGAGAAGAGGACAUUGAAAAGACAACAUUUAGGACACAUCAAGGGCUAUUCGAAUUCACAGUCAUGCCAUUUAGAUUAACUAGUGCCCCUGCCACAUUCCAAAAUUUGAUGAAUCAGGUGUUUCAGCCCCUAAGAAAAAAUGUUUUGGUGUUUUUUGAUGACAUCCUAAUCUACUCCAAGGAUUUGGAUGGACACUACAAACAUCUUCAAGAGGUAUUUCAGAUUCCUAGAGACAAUCAGUUGUAUGCUAAAGGGAGCAAGUGUACAUUUGCACAACCUCAGGUGGAUUAUUUAGGACAUGUAAUUUCUAACACAGGAGUGACAAUGAACCCAACAAAAAUCCACGAUGUACUGGAUUGGCCUGAACUUGAACCAUCAAGUAACUAAGGGGUUUCCUUGGACUUACAGGACACUAUAAGAAAUUCACAAGGGAUUUGGAAUUCUAGCUAAACCCCCGACUUCUCUACUACAAAAAGGAAAAUUUGGGUGGAAUCCAGAGGCUCAACUUUCUUUCACAGCUCUUAAAAAAGCUCUGACUACUUCUCCAGUUUUGGCAUUAAUAGACUUCACCAAGGUUUUUGAAAUUGAGAUUGAUGCAUUAGGAACAGGGAUUGGGGUCAUUCUAAUUCAAGAAGGCAUGCCCCUUGCUUAUUUUAGUAAAGGUUUGGGUUCUAAAAAAGCUCAGAAUUACUCAACCUAUGAGAAGGAACUAAUGGUUGUAGUUGAAACUAUUAAGAGAUAGUCUUCUUAUUUAGGUCAAUGGCAGUCCAGUUCAUUAUCAAAACAGACCACUAGUCCUUGAAGUACUUUUUAGAAUAGAAGGUUGUGACCUGCCUGCAACAAAGAUGGAUGAGCAAGCUUCUGGAUAUGAUUAUAUUUAAAAGGGAAAGGAUAACACAACUGCAGAUGGUUUGUCUAGGAAUUUUUUUGAAGGAACAAAUUCAGAACUUAUUAAUGGGGACAUGAAUGUUCUAAAGGAGGAGGGAAUGUCAGGGUAAAUUGGGAAGGAAAGAGUAGUUAGUAUAUUCUAGAGUUAGAUAUAUUGUAUGCACAUGUAAGCACAUGAGUGGUUAGUUAGCAUGUGUGUGUAGGAUAAGAGAAUGGUGUAGGUUAGGAGUAUUUACACUUUUUCAGUAUUUUAGUAGCUAUAUAUAUGAGUGUAAUGGGUAGAGUAACCCCCAAGCUUUUGAAUAUUAUGCAAUUUGUGAAUGAAAUGAGAAAAGCUCGUUUAAGCUCUCUCUAUCUCUCUCAGUCUCACGAACUCGGUGAUAAAUCACUAAUUCUUCUCCUUUCUCUCUUAUUUCUCUGAAUUCUCUCUUAUUUCUAUCUCCAUCUCUUUUUCUCUCUUAUUUUCUGGUAACAAGGGUUUGACAUAUCCUCACUUUCCCUCGUUUAGUGUUGGACAUUCUUUUUCCUUGUAUUACAUUUUUCUCCUCCAUUAGAUUAUGUUACUAGUAAAUCAUUGAAAAUCUUUUAUGUUUAUUUCAAUGAGUUUGAAAUGAAAUCGGCUUAGCCAGUAUUCUGUGUCAUCCUGGUCUUGGAAGACUUAAUGGUCGGAAGAUAUGAACCAUUUAUUUUCUAUCAACUCAUGUAAAUGUAUAUUGGUUCAACUUGUUAAAAAUCUGUUGUGCCUUCCAUCAAGGAUACAAUGAUAUUAAUAAAUGAACAGAUGCUUUGAAGUAUAUUGAAUUACUGUAACUCUAUUGUUGUCUAUGUUGCUUUUAUACUAAUGUUAGACAUUCUUUUCCCUUGUGUUUCUUUUUCUACGUCAUUAGAUUAUGUUACUGACUUGCUGGUAAAUCAUUGAAAUUUUUGUAUGUACAUUUUUCAGGGAGUUUGAAGCAAAUUGGCAUAGCCAGUGUUCUAGGUCACCCUUUUGUUUGAAGAACGUGUGGAGAUAUAAUCCAGUUAUUUGUUAUCAACUCGUGCAAAUAAAUAUUGGUCCAACUUCUUCAGAAUCCGGGAUUUUUUGUUUUCCCUCAAGGAUGCAAUGGUAUUAAGAACUUAAUAGAUGUUUUCAAGCAUAUUGAAUUACUGUCAAUAAAUAUCUAAUACUGGUAAACGUGUUGAAGUUAAUAUAAGUAGGAGAAAGUAUGAUGAAGGCAACCCUUAUAUUUAUUUCACAAAAAAAUUCUUUGUUCUAAUUGAGAAAAUCGGGAGCCAUAAAGAAAUUCAGAUUCUUGUGUCUACUAUAUUUAGAAAAUGGAAUUCAUAGGACUUCGGAGAUGACUUGUGAAAUGCCACUGUGUCAGUUGUAUCAUUGGUAAUUUGCUAUAUAAUAUAUGCUGACCUGCUGAAUUUUUAUUGCCACGAGAUCGAUAAUUAAAGAGUUUACUGUGAAAGGAAUCUUAAAUAUUUGUUUAGCUUUGGACUUAAAAUGAAAAAAAUCCAUAGUUAUGGUAUGUACAUGGUAGAUAUUUAUAACGUUGGAAGUAUAACAUGAAGAAGUUGAGAACUGCGAUGACUAUUUAAUAUUUGUUGCUAGGUUUAACAUGCUUUCCUGAGUGUUGUGCUUUGAUACAGUAGUGUUGGUUAAAAAUUUCCAUCAUAUUACUUUCAAUUUUUUUUUUGUUAUCUGAUAUCUCACAUUCAUGUCAGUUUCCCUUUGUUAUGGAGUUAUAUAGUUAUAUCCUGCAGUCAAUUUUAGUUUGGAUCCCCGUGUUAGUUAAGUUACUGUUGUAUCCAUGUAUUUGUGGGUAUGUGGGAAGAAGUAGAGUAGUGUCACAUUUUUUGGGUUCUUCAUUAUUGCUUAUUUACUUAAUUUUUUAACAGUUGUUUGUUAUCGUGUUCACCGUCUUCUUUGUGAGUUAGGAAAAUCUUAAUUAGUUCUUCAUUGUUUGCUUACUAAACAAAAAGCUAUGGAUAAACCAUAACUACAGUGAAACUCUUGCAGCACACACCAGUAGUUCUUUUUUUCUUCGUUUUUUCCCCUUAAUUACGGCAACAACUAUCCUUAUGGUGCAUAUCGGAUAAACCAUGGUUUGUACACAAAUACCCCAUCGACCAUGCAUUCCGGGCAAUCCUAUAGUAAAUUAUGUACGAGUGUCCGGAGUUUAUUUGCCAAUGUAUAGUAUUGAACCAUGACUUAAGCCAAUUGCCAAACUGAUAAGGUACUCUAUCCAUAGGCGUAUUACCACUAAAGUAAACUUCAUGGGUACAUAUAUAUAGACUAUUUUUAUCUUGUGAUUGAACUUCAUGACCUAUGCCAACUGUUAAAUUGGAAUUUAUUUGCAGCAUCUUCAUCGUCUGAUUGCACAUUUAUGUGAGUUUGAUAUGAAGUUGGUUGAUGAGACCACUGAGAGAAUACCGGUUUAGGUGAGCAACCGUUGUUAAAUAUUGGUUAUUGAAAUACUUGAGGAAUGAAUAUCUUUUAGAUAUAUGAAUUGGUCAUUUCAUAUCUUCAGUGUUGGGAAAUCUUUCUAAUUUGGACUCUCAUCCUCCUUUAAGCAUUCAAGAGGGACUUUCACUUUUAAGGGGAAUAAAUGCUGCUAUGCAUUUGUAGGCUGGAUUUUCAAUUUUUGAGCAACAUAAGAGAUCAGUUGGCUUUAAGUUUUCAGUUUCCUAAAAACUCAUCCAUUAUACUAGUAUCUUUUGCAUAUACUUAAGCAGUUUAUAUGUUCUCCAUGAAUGUAAUUUGUAUCCUAGUUGUUAUCUUGUUUCGCCCUCAAAAUUUCGUCACUGUUUGAACACGUGCUGGUCUUCUGGUAGGUCAAGCAUUUCACAAAAUUGUUGGCUCAACACUUCGUUUGUUUAAAUUUGCG
RNAcentral lists this long non-coding RNA (11223 nucleotides) under Panax ginseng (ginseng). RNAcentral's name for it is "long non-coding RNA (PGIN_LNC003610)". The record is from RNAcentral. Lineage: Eukaryota; Viridiplantae; Streptophyta; Magnoliopsida; Apiales; Araliaceae.